UACGAAGGGGGCUAGCGUUGCUCGGAAUUACUGGGCGUAAAGCGCACGUAGGCGGAUCUUUAAGUCAGGGGUGAAAUCCUGGAGCUCAACUCCAGAACUGCCUUUGAUACUGAGGGUCUUGAGUUCGGGAGAGGUGAGUGGAACUGCGAGUGUAGAGGUGAAAUUCGUAGAUAUUCGCAAGAACACCAGUGGCGAAGGCGGCUCACUGGCCCGGUUCUGACGCUGAGGCGCGAAAGCGUGGGUAGCAAACAGG
This 253-nucleotide ribosomal RNA is filed under the name uncultured bacterium. Its description in RNAcentral is "partial 16S ribosomal RNA". It matches the Rfam family "Bacterial small subunit ribosomal RNA", at positions 524 to 776 of the family's 1533-position model. The record is from RNAcentral.